RNAcentral lists this ribosomal RNA (305 nucleotides) under uncultured bacterium. RNAcentral's name for it is "bacterial SSU rRNA". It matches the Rfam family "Bacterial small subunit ribosomal RNA", at positions 337 to 640 of the family's 1533-position model. The record is from RNAcentral.
GCCUACGGGGCGCAGCAGUGAGGAAUAUUGGUCAAUGGCCGAGAGGCUGAACCAGCCAAGCCGCGUGAGGGAGGAAGGUACAGAGUAUCGUAAACCUCUUUCGUCAGGGAACAAAGGCGGGGACGUGUCCCCGGAUGAGUGUACCUGAAGAAAAAGCAUCGGCUAACUCCGUGCCAGCAGCCGCGGUAAUACGGAGGAUGCGAGCGUUAUCCGGAUUUAUUGGGUUUAAAGGGUGCGCAGGCGGUCUGUUAAGUCAGCGGUCAAAGCCCGGGGCUCAACCCCGGCCCGCCGUUGAAACUGGCAGU